GUGAAUAAAUCGCUAUGCUGUUGUAUUUUUGAGCUGGUUUCCGGGCAAAUGGCUAAUGAUCUGGUCAUUCGAGCACUGAAAGCUAAAGCCAAGUCGUUGAAUUUGAGCUCGAGGAACAUUACUGAGCUUUCAAAAGAUUUUGCAAAGUUACCCGAGGUUAGGGAUCUCCGUGUAAACAACAACCGCCUCGUGACUCUGCCUCUGGGGCUGCAGUGUAUGCGACAGUUGACAGAACUUAACCUGGGCAAUAACGCAUUUGAGGAGAUGCCACCAGUCCUGAAGUAUCUACAUAGCCUGAAAAAGCUGCAUUUGUUUGGGAAUCAGAUUUCCACACUGCAUGCAGAGGUUCUGGAGAAUCUUCCAAACCUCAUCCUUCUCAACCUGAACCACAACAAAAUCAAAAUCAUUCCUCCAGCUAUAAAGAGCCUCUCGAAUUUGGAACGAUUCAGUAUUGCAGACAAUCAGCUCGAAGAGAUUCCUGCUGAGUUGGGUCUGGUCAGCAAGUUGAUGGAGAUGAAUUUGUCCAGGAACAAGCUGAGUGAAAUCCCACAGGAGUUGUAUAAGUUAACACGUCUGAGGAAACUGAGCUUAGCUAGAAACGGUCUCAGACAGUUGCCAGAGGGAAUUCCUGGAUGGAAAAACCUGAAGAUGUUAGAUGUUGCAGGUAACCGCCUGUCUAUGUUUCCAGUCAACUUCCACUUUCUUGAGCUGGAAGAAUUCUACUUUGAGGAAAACGAUCUUGUUCGGUUGGAACUGUUCACCUCUGCUAAAGUGAAGGACGUUUUCCCAUUAAAGGAACUUGCUGCCAGAUUCAUCAUGAAAGAACAUUUAAAUAAGUUGUCCAGGGCUUCACUACUCCUUCCAGAUGUACAGACGAUGCUCUCUCAGUCUGGAAGGUGUGCUGUGUGCUUUGAGCCCUUUCUGACCACCUGGGUGGAGUGUGUGCAGUUCAUCAGCUUGCGCAAGGUGCAGAUCCUGUAUUAACACUCCAGAUUCACAAACGAGGAAAAUAAAGCGUAAAAUCAUCCACUGAUCAACCAUAACAUUACUGGACAUGGGGAUAAAAAAUUCCCAGAAUAUUCCAGUCCGAGUGCUGCUGUGUUCCUAUUCCUGCUUCAACAAGAGCGGCCACUCUUACUACAGCGUCGUUAAUGCAAAGCCGUAAGAGGUGGUCUCAUUAUAAUUCCAGUAUGUUCAGGUCCACGUCCAUUCCAGGUCUCCUCUAAUCCUGUCUUGUAGUAGGUCAAAAGCAGGUGAAAUUUAUAUAACUAGUCAGCCACUAGAUGGCAGUGUAUGAUCACUCACUGGCUCUGGAUAUUUCUGUGAAAGAACUUUGUACCUGUAAAAGUUCAUGCCAGUCAUACUGCAUCUGAUCGCUGUGCUUCUGUUUACAUUUAUUAAUGCACAUGGAUCUAUUCUUAUGGACAUGAUCUAUUCUUAUGUGGGAAAUCUUUGAAUAUUUUUACAUUAUGUAUAAAGUAUCAACAUUAUAGGUUGACACAUACAGAGAGAGAGAGAGAGAGAGAGAGAGAGAGAAUACUUAUGUGAUACAGUAAUUUAGAUAGCAUUAAAAGGAAUUAUAAACAUUACAUUACUGUCAUUUAUUCAAGCAGUAGAAGUUUCUCAUCAGGGUCUGCUCAUCUGCUUUAUCCUUGGAAGAGUAGAAGGACGGCAGAGGUGGAAGAGAUGGAGUUCGCCUUUUUUGCUUCAUCAUUUAUUUAAAACAAUGUCCUUCAUCUUCAAGGAAAGUAUCAUCAUAAAAUGCAUAAUAAAUGUAUGUAUGUUUUUAUGAAGGUAAAUGACAAAUAGUUUAAUAAUGCCUAUAUUGCAUGCUUUUAUGACUUACUAAAUAUGUCAUAAGUAAAACUACAAGGAACCUGUAAAUAAUCAAAUCCAUAAAUGUUAAACCCUAGAACUAUUAUUCUCACUAAAUAACAAAAUGAUUUGAAGUAGUUAUUACAUUAAAGCACAAUGUAAAGCAUAUUAAAAGGGCUAAAAUGUAUGUCAGUGUAUAUUUUAGGCACCUUAUUUUGCUACCACUAACCAUGUUCUUCCAAUGUAUUAAUCCUAAAUUACAUUAAAUUGGUCUUGUGUGUGUGUGUGUGUGUGUGUGUAUGCAAAUACAUCCUGUGUUCCAAGAAUAAGUGGUUGCUUAAGAUGAAUGAAUAAUAAUAUAUAAUUUGACACUUUGCAGUUUGCAGUAUUUAUUUUCUAAGCAGCGAGAGCAAUCCAUCAAGGACAUAUUUGUUUAUAAUUCCUGGUAGAGCGAUGACUGAGAAGUCACAUAGUGGGGAAAUGGAGAAAUAUUUAACAAAACAAUUAGUCACUGUAGAAUCAUAUAAUGCACUGUUUUCCUUAUUGCUUGUAUACUGUGCUAUAAAUGUGUUCAUAGUUACCUUAGUGGCAUGAUUGUUAUACGAAUAAACUACAGGGACUGGAUUUGGGUAGAUAUUUUUAAGCAGGAAGAUAUGAAAGCCCAAUCCAUUUGCUUAAUUAGGAGGAACAUCGCUGGUUUCGUACCAAUGACACUAAAAUACAUUGCAGUUAAUGAGAAUCGUUUUCUCCCUCUCUUUAACAACAAUGGCGCUAAUCCUGAAACCUUAUUUAAGGAAUAAAUCACUGUGUCUGUUCAUCCAUACAUUUAACAUAUCAGUGAUCCCAGUAAUAUUCCUCUUUCUACUUCGUCACAUUCACGCAUUUUCAGUUCCAUAAAGCCGUUUAAAAGUAGAUCUUCCUUUGCUAGCACAUAGAUUUCAGUAGCCUAGCUCUCUAUAGAGCAGUCUUCAGUUCUCCAUAUCUACCCUUAGUUCAUCUGUUCAACCUGAGAGAAUUUAAUUUCUCCGAGUUAAUUUCCCAUGCAGGCCCUCUGAGCUCUGAGCACAAUCCAUGGAGUUGGGUCUGAUGAAUAAUGCAGCAGGUUUAAUUGCAAGAGCCAGAAACUAAUGAUUUUGGACUGGUUAACAGCAGGGGAACCAUACAUCUCUGCAAACUGAAUGAAAAAUCAGUUUUUAAAAAAGGGAAUAGGGGAAAACGCUAAUUGAUGAAUAAUUAAAGCUUCAGCUACAGGGCAUAAUUGUGACAUUUUGUUUCAAUCAGUUUUGAAGUACAGGGAAAAGUGCACUAAAGAAAGUAAUGACAACUGUGAGAAUGUCCGGUGCGAAAGAAGGAUUGAGUCACUUAAUUAUACAGUCUUCAGUCAAAGUCUAGAUUAGAAAUUUUUUAUCUGAAAAGAA
Hemibagrus wyckioides is the source of this 3233-nucleotide RNA transcript. It is a transcript of the gene named leucine rich repeat containing 69, with no coding region annotated. Lineage: Eukaryota; Metazoa; Chordata; Actinopteri; Siluriformes; Bagridae. The transcript is spliced from 8 exons. The record is from RefSeq and is a predicted model, not a curated record.